GGGUGACCGAGGUGCAGUGUUGUCAUACGAGAUCUUCCCGGCGUGGAAGUGUUUUGCGUCGUGGUCGGUAGGACUGCAGAGACGUAAGAUGCAGAGAUGAUUGAAGUCCCAGCUGAGCUCAUUAUCCCAAUCCCCCCGACGCUCAGUGAGGGCUUAAGGUCUUAAAGUAACGAUUCAAACAUGAUUUGUAUUAAAGGCAACGAUCUCCCGAGCUGGAAAAUCAAAUUACUGAAAUCCGAGGGAAAAAAGGAAGAUAUAUCACAAAAAUAUAAUUGUUUCUGACUUUCUAAAUCAUAGCAAAGAUAAAGGACUUGGAACAGCAGCAGCAAAAACUUUUCUGGUUCUCUCAUUCUUCUAUCAGUGCGACUCUUCCCACGGCCUGUAUCACUGAGCUGCAGCAGGCAGUCCGCAGACACACGGGGAGCGGCACAGUCCCGGGUUCGAGCGCAAGUCUGUCGUGCUGACAUUAAAUCCACAGGCCCAUCUCUUCAUUCACUGUUUCUAUUACAACAGAUGUUUGCUUGAUGCAAAACAGCUUUAAGAUCUUAGUGCUGGAACAUGCUGCUAAUCAGGUUUGUUCACAUGAAGCACUGUUGGUGCUUAAAAUAUCUUGUUCUCACGCCGGCAGAAUCAGCGAGGAACCUAGUCAUAUGCAGCCAAAUGGCACAAGGUGUUAACAAAGAAAGCAAGGAGAAAUUUGAGACUGUGUGUUUCCCAGCCCAUGAGGAAAAAUGCAAAGCUUAACAUGUUUAAAUAUGGAAGACUGCCGUUGCACGCGCCGCUCACAGAAAUCAGAAGGCAAGCCGAAGGUGGAAUACCAGGGUGGCUUUGCGAGCUUCCUGCAUUUCCUGCAAGUUUGAGCUCAGGACGGGUAUGGAUGACGUCGUCGUUAUGAUGUCAUCGUGUCGGCGGGGGAUGUGAUGUCACAUAGGUGUGGGGGAGACGCAGUGCAGUUGCCUGUAGUGCAGAGAGACAGAUGGGGGAGGGACGGGGAGCGUCUUUGCUAAACCAAGCAGAUGGAUGGAUGGAUGCAAAACAAAAACCCCAAAGCAACAUGCAACUGCUGCAGGAGCUCUCGACCGGCCCUAGCGGGCUUCCUUUCAGUCAUUUAUAGCUCUCGUCGAAGAGGGGCGCUGUUGUGGAUGGGUGCCCUGUUUUUGCCUCCGAGGUCCAGCCUUUGAGCAUCUCGGCGGGCAUCAAGGCUGAGCUUGCAGUAGCUCUUCCCCCUCGGGCCCAGGAUUUCUCCUCAACCCCGCGAGCUCCGCCUGCAGGAUUUAUUCGGACACCCUUCCCCGGCGCCCCCGGCUCCGCACGAUCGACCCGUGGGGGUGUGCCGCGUGCUCGAGCUUUGAAGAAGAGUAUUGAUCGCUGUUGAAAGAAGCAAACCUUCCCUGCGCGCGCCGCAUUGUGAGUGCGGUCCGGCCCGAUCAAUAGCGCUGUUCGGAGCCGGUGCAGGUAGAGAGAGAGAGGGAGAGGGAGAGAGAUGGGAAAGGAGUGGGAGUAGGGAGGAAUCCCCUGGUGGCAGAGCUAUGAGUGAAAACAGACUCCGUGGUGAAGAUGAGAAAACAAAGGUGAGGGUUCAGAGGAA
Lepisosteus oculatus (spotted gar) is the source of this 1588-nucleotide long non-coding RNA. RefSeq lists it as uncharacterized. Lineage: Eukaryota; Metazoa; Chordata; Actinopteri; Semionotiformes; Lepisosteidae. The record is from RefSeq and is a predicted model, not a curated record.